GCCAAAGUGGCGGGCGUGGCUAUACAUGCAAGUCGAACGAACUCUGGUAUUGAUUGGUGCUUGCAUCAUGAUUUACAUUUGAGUGAGUGGCGAACUGGUGAGUAACACGUGGGAAACCUGCCCAGAAGCGGGGGAUAACACCUGGAAACAGAUGCUAAUACCGCAUAACAACUUGGACCGCAUGGUCCGAGUUUGAAAGAUGGCUUCGGCUAUCACUUUUGGAUGGUCCCGCGGCGUAUUAGCUAGAUGGUGGGGUAACGGCUCACCAUGGCAAUGAUACGUAGCCGACCUGAGAGGGUAAUCGGCCACAUUGGGACUGAGACACGGCCCAAACUCCUACGGGAGGCAGCAGUAGGGAAUCUUCCACAAUGGACGAAAGUCUGAUGGAGCAACGCCGCGUGAGUGAAGAAGGGUUUCGGCUCGUAAAACUCUGUUGUUAAAGAAGAACAUAUCUGAGAGUAACUGUUCAGGUAUUGACGGUAUUUAACCAGAAAGCCACGGCUAACUACGUGCCAGCAGCCGCGGUAAUACGUAGGUGGCAAGCGUUGUCCGGAUUUAUUGGGCGUAAAGCGAGCGCAGGCGGUUUUUUAAGUCUGAUGUGAAAGCCUUCGGCUCAACCGAAGAAGUGCAUCGGAAACUGGGAAACUUGAGUGCAGAAGAGGACAGUGGAACUCCAUGUGUAGCGGUGAAAUGCGUAGAUAUAUGGAAGAACACCAGUGGCGAAGGCGGCUGUCUGGUCUGUAACUGACGCUGAGGCUCGAAAGUAUGGGUAGCAAACAGGAUUAGAUACCCUGGUAGUCCAUACCGUAAACGAUGAAUGCUAAGUGUUGGAGGGUUUCCGCCCUUCAGUGCUGCAGCUAACGCAUUAAGCAUUCCGCCUGGGGAGUACGGCCGCAAGGCUGAAACUCAAAGGAAUUGACGGGGGCCCGCACAAGCGGUGGAGCAUGUGGUUUAAUUCGAAGCUACGCGAAGAACCUUACCAGGUCUUGACAUACUAUGCAAAUCUAAGAGAUUAGACGUUCCCUUCGGGGACAUGGAUACAGGUGGUGCAUGGUUGUCGUCAGCUCGUGUCGUGAGAUGUUGGGUUAAGUCCCGCAACGAGCGCAACCCUUAUUAUCAGUUGCCAGCAUUAAGUUGGGCACUCUGGUGAGACUGCCGGUGACAAACCGGAGGAAGGUGGGGAUGACGUCAAAUCAUCAUGCCCCUUAUGACCUGGGCUACACACGUGCUACAAUGGAUGGUACAACGAGUUGCGAACUCGCGAGAGUAAGCUAAUCUCUUAAAGCCAUUCUCAGUUCGGAUUGUAGGCUGCAACUCGCCUACAUGAAGUCGGAAUCGCUAGUAAUCGCGGAUCAGCAUGCCGCGGUGAAUACGUUCCCGGGCCUUGUACACACCGCCCGUCACACCAUGAGAGUUUGUAACACCCAAAGUCGGUGGGGUAACCUUUUAGGAACCAGCCGCCUAAAGGUGGAACCAGGAAAGG
Molecule: ribosomal RNA, 1483 nt
Filed under: Lactiplantibacillus plantarum
Lineage: Bacteria; Bacillati; Bacillota; Bacilli; Lactobacillales; Lactobacillaceae
Description: bacterial SSU rRNA
Rfam family: Bacterial small subunit ribosomal RNA
Source: RNAcentral